Molecule: ribosomal RNA, 485 nt
Filed under: uncultured bacterium
Lineage: Bacteria
Description: partial 16S ribosomal RNA
Rfam family: Bacterial small subunit ribosomal RNA
Source: RNAcentral
AGUGAACGCUGGCGGCGUGCUUAACACAUGCAAGUCGAACGAGAACGGGAUAUAGCUUGCUAUAUUUGUCAGCUAAGUGGCGCACGGGUGAGUAAUGUAUAGAUAACCUGCCCUCUAGAAAGGAAUAACAGUUGGAAACGACUGCUAAUGCCCUAUAUGCCUUUAAUACAUAAGUAUGCAAGGGAAACGCUUUAGUGCUAGAGGAUGGGUCUGUAUGGUAUCAGCUUGUUGGUGAGGUAAUGGCUCACCAAGGCUAUGACGCCUAACUGGUUUGAGAGGAUGAUCAGUCACACUAGAACUGAGACACGGUCCAGACUCCUACGGGAGGCAGCAGUGGGGAAUAUUGCACAAUGGACGAAAGUCUGAUGCAGCAACGCCGCGUGGAGGAUGACACAUUUCGGUGCGUAAACUCCUUUUAUAUAUGAAGAUAAUGACGGUACUAUAUGAAUAAGCACCGGCUAACUCCGUGCCAGCCGCCGCAGUAA